Small nuclear RNA from Dipodomys ordii (Ord's kangaroo rat), 103 nucleotides. NCBI's taxonomy places the organism in Eukaryota, Metazoa, Chordata, Mammalia, Rodentia, Heteromyidae. The record is from Ensembl.
UUGCUUUAGCUGUACAUAUGCAAAAAUUGGACUGAUACAGAGAAGAUUAGCAUGGCCCUUGAGUAAGGAUGGCAUGCACAUUAAUGAACAGUUUCAUAUUAUA